RNAcentral lists this small RNA (12583 nucleotides) under Mytilus galloprovincialis (Mediterranean mussel). The record is from RNAcentral. Lineage: Eukaryota; Metazoa; Mollusca; Bivalvia; Mytilida; Mytilidae.
AUGAAGUGUCCAAUUGAAGGAUGUACAGCCGGGAGGUUUACCCCCAAAUGUAAAAACGCUAGGCACUGGACAGAAAAGCACGUGCAGACAAGCAUAAAAUACCACUGCAGUGUUAGGAAUUAUACGGUCACAUGCAGGAGAAGAUACGACAUGAAAACACACCUUAAGGAAGUCCACAGAGGAGAAGAUGGGUUAAGAGUAGAAAAUCUUACUUGCAAGUGUGACAAAACUGUCAUGAAGAACAGGGGAUAUAUUGAUCCAGGGUUCCUAAUAUUUAAAGGCAGAACUAUUAAAUCAGUUCCGUCUACUGCUUCCUCGACGUCCUCGUGUCCACCUGUUCAGUCCACCAUCAAUACCUCAUCUAUUGCCACAACCAACACUACAACUACAUCCACUGCUGUGUCUAACUCCAUUCCUACUGUCCCGUAUUUUUCAUCUCUCUUUGCUGCCACUACAAACACAUCUGUUUUUCAAGAAGGACCAGAGUAUACAGUCACCGAGCCUUCCAAAAAUCCAUCCAGUAAGUCUUCAAGAUUACCGUCACCGGGAAAAUGCUCCAUCUAUACUACCGCCUCUGACAUUAGAAUCAUAGAUUGUAACACAUCUUUCGGUAUUGCUGCCAACUCACAGUUUACAGAUGGAUCUUGCCAAACAUCAAGUUUGGAGCUACAACCACUUGUUUUAUCGCCUUUCCCCCAAGCCAAAGAGGAAUUAGAGGGAUACAUACGAUGGUUGUGUCUUGGUAUCGAUCAGUUUUUUCAAGACAUGGUGACUAAUGUGUUACUGAACACAUUAGGUCUUAAGGGGAGGGGAGUAAAAUGGUGGUCGCUUUCGCUAGAUGUCUCCUUUAUUCAUAUAAUAUCAUUCUACUCAUAUCUAUUUAUCUUUAUUGUAUUUAUAUAGUUUCCCAUGGGCGCAGCCAAUAGUACUUAUCCAAAGCUAUGGUGUGAAGGAUAAUGUAUACCUAUAUAUAAAUCUGGAGAUAUAAAUAACCCUGAAAAUUACAGAGGUAUAGCUAUAAAUUCUUGUAUUAUAAAUAAAAUAAACUUCUGUAAGCAUAUUUUAGGCUUAAAUAAUAAAAGUACAAAUGUUGCUGUACAAUCAGAAUUAGGUAGAUUUCCUAUAUAUUUUAAUAUUGUUAUAUCUAUGAAAAGUCUUAGAUAAAAAAAAAAACCAUAAUUAUUCUAGUAAUAAAUUAAAACAACUUAUUAUAAAAAAGUUAAAGACAUUAUUUUUAAAAGCAUGGUUCAAUUAUAAAGAUAAUAAUAAUUUUUUAAAUGUGAUAAUUAUUUAUUAUUUAAGAAAAACAUAUACUUAAAAAGUUAAGUAAUUUUCUUAUCCAAAGUUUUGAAUUGAGAUCUACAAAUUCUGUUAAUGGGUAAAUCGCUUUUAGUUUAUCCAUAUAUAUAUUUUAAAUUCAAAAAUUAAAUUUAAAUACACAUUUCUCUGUCUGUGUGUAUGCAUAUUUCAUCUAUUAAUAUGUAAAUGCUUAUAUUUGCAUUAAUAAACUGCAGUCAAAUCUCUAAGGUGCUUAUCAUAUUCUUGCAAUUGUGAAAGAAAUAUUAUAUACAUAAAUAGCCAGUAAUUGGUUGCUGUGUGAGAAAUUGCCCUAAAAAUAUAUCUAAUCAGUUGGGGCUGCAUUUCAUUUUUAUGCAUCUCAAAACACCAUAUCUGUUUAAAGGGGAUAAAAACUUAGAAAAAUUGAUUGUCUCCCAUAUUACUUUCUCUUCCAUGUGCAUGCAAUAACUGUUCAGUGUUCUAUUGUCAUGUUUUUCAUUUUAUUAUUUCAUUGUUAUAACACAAAGAAUUGUAAUCAUUGUAUAAAAUUUAAAACCCGCAAAGGUCCAUAACUGGAUUAAUAAAGUAUUCUUAUUUUUAUUCUUAUAAAAAGUUCAGCAUAUGGAAACCAAGUUAUGGCAGAAGCUAGAUGUGUUGCAGGAAACAGUAACAUUAUGACAGUGUUACCUCCAAUCCUAAAAGACAGAUAUAUUGCAGAGUUCAUCAAGGCUACUUCAGUAAAAUCACUUUUGAAUGGAGGGUGAGAGAGACACUAUUUAGAAGUUUUGAAGAAAUUAGAAUGGACGUGUCUUUUCCAUCGUCAUUUCAGUCAGUUUUGGAUGAUGCAAAAUGUAUUGUUGACGGUUUCAAAACAGAUUCACUAAACUUUUUAUAUCGUGUUUUAUCAGACAAUUUUCUGUAGAGGUUUUGAAAGAAAUUAUUAAGAAAAAGAUAACACAACUUAAAGAUGAGAAUAAUUCUGAAGGAACACCUGAAUCUUGCAGUUGAGUAAUAAUGAUAGCAAGGUGUUAUAUUUAGUGGCUGGAUAUAUUAUCUUUGCUUUGAAAAGAAAAUGUUCCAGGUACAAAAAUGAUAAGUGCAAGAAUGCCAUUGCUUUGUUGAAGUAUUUAAUUCAGACAAUCAAUUCUUGUUCCAAACUAUAUGUUGUGAGACACUCGGACUGGUUAGAGAAGAUUAAUAGAGGUGGAUUAAUAUACCCAGCAGAUGAUUUCCUUUUAUUAAUUAAAGAGAUGGAAAUUAUAAUGAGAAAGAAUAUUAACAUGAAAAAACUGUCAUUCAAUUCACUCAGUAAAAGUGUAAUGACUGAACAUAUCAGUGCUUCCUACAUGGUUCACUACUACUGGGAUAGUCUAUGUGCAGAAUCAGGAGACUUUGUAAAACUGUUUGUUCUUGAGCUUAUUAUCAAUUUGUUUCUCACUAUUCGCUCUUUUGCACUUUUGAAACAUAUGAAAGCUAAGUAUGAGCAAGGACAGGGAUCAAACAGAGGGAAAAUCACUACGAAAGAAAAAAUCUGUGAAUGUCUAGGAACUAUAAUAUAUCAUAACGUGUAACUUUGCAAUAUACAUGUCAUGUAUUAUGGACAAUGUCUCUGUCGGAGUCAUUGCUGUGUUAUUUUGUUGAUAAUGUGUCAAUUUGUGUCUCUUUCGUACAUCGUUGACAUAUAUGGUUAUUAAUAAUAAAAUUCUAUGUUGUAAAACUAUUUUACUUUUAUAACCAUGCUUACGUUUUUUAUUUAUACAUAUAAAGAUGGUUUUAUUUGAACAUUUACAAUGUUUACAGUUGUGGUUGGCUUUGAUAUCUAGCUUUCAUUACAUGUGUACAGUUGACUUGGGGCUACCAUUUUAUCCGUUCUUUAUAUCUGGUUUGAAAUUUUUCAGGUUCAUUGUAUAACUAAAAUUGCGAUAGGGUAGUUUUUUCUCAUUGUUGAAGACCAAACAGUGACGUAGUAAAUUGUGUAAAUGAUUUUAUAUAUAUAUAUACAAUUUAUAUACAUGUAUGUUGUAUAUACAUUCAUUGUUUGAACUCUUGUGUAUAAUUGUUUCAUUGACAGUCAUACAACAUCUCAUAGUUUGUAUCACUCAAUGUCAAUACUUCCUUUUUUCAGGUGGACUCAAUCAGCGGAACUUGAGUGCCAAAAACUUAAAAUACUGUCAACAAAAUCCAGUACUAUUUAAGAUAUAUGAACAAUAUUUUAAUAUUGUACGUGAUUUAAAUGGAAAUUUUUUUAUAGGAACCAGAUAAAGGAGGUAUUAAUUUUGGUGAACAGUCAGUAGGGGUCAACAAAUUGUCUAAUAUCAUGAAAACCAUGUGUGCAGAAACAGGAAUAGAUAGGUAUUUCACUAACCACUCUGGUAAAAGGACAUGUGCCACAGCACUAUAUCAGGCAGGAGUCCAGAACAAGAAAUAAUGAACAGGACAGGCCAUAGGUCAGUCGAGAGUGUUAGUAAAGAUAAAAGGGCUUCCAGUGAGAUGUUAAAGGAUAUCUCAAAUAUCCUUGAGCCAAUUGAAAGCAUGUGCAAGAAAAUUAAACAUGAAGGCAACACAGAAAUACAAAAUCGCACUGAAAAUCAAGAAACAUCAAAACGUGCCGCAGGAGGCGUUGAAAAAAAUUAAAAUUACAAAAAUACUGAACUUAGAGGAAAAACAAUUCUAUAAAAUCCAUAAUCACAUGGCUAAAUCAAAUAACAAAACGCAUCAAAACGAAUGGACAAGAACUGUCAUAUGGAAGUUUGUUCACUGGAUGUGUGUUAAAUUUUAAUAGUGGAAGUUAAAUAUAUUUGUGAUUAUUUCAGUUUUUGAGGAUUAUGUGGUGUAUUUUAUUCAAAGGUAUAUAUUCAUUUUUGAAUUACAUCCUUUUUAGUAUUGAAAAUAUGCAUAAUGGAAUUUAUGCAUUUUGUUUUGUAGUGAAAUUACCAGUGUGCCAUUCUCGAGGAUUAGAGGAUUUAAUAUUUGGCUUCUAGUUUCACAUUUUAUUAGAAUAAUACAGUUAUUUAAAUUCGUUUUUGUAGUAUUUAAGAAAAAGAAAGGAUAUGGGGAUAUUGCCACAAUGAGACAACAACCCAACACUAUAGUUUUAGUAAAAAUUUAGAGUUGAAAAAUAUUACAGGAAAAAAAUGUUACAUUGUAGGUUCUGGCUAAAAACCUAUAAAUUGAAUGUUUAAAGUUAAAAUCCACAUUUGGUUGCUGAUUUUUUAAACGAUUGAUUGUUUGUUGCUUUACGUCCAGAGGCAAAUAUUUCAUGCAUGUUCUACAUUUAAAACAAAUCAUAAAUUAAUCUUUCAGUUUUUGUUAUUUGUUUAUGUUCGUAACGAAGACACUUGUAAACUUAAUGUGCUGUGUGUCUUUUGUUACGAACAUAACUGAAACUGAGAUAUGGUUCGAACUAAAUGUUUAAAAAGUUGAAAGAGCAUUUUAAAUUGUUUGUUUUCUAUAGUAAAGUGCCCAUUUAAAAAAAGAUCAUAUGUAUUUUAAGUAUUGUGUUAUUUGUUUAUGUUCGUUAUGUUUGGUACUUUGUUGUAUGUUGAAUGUUCAAAAGUUGAAAUAAGAAUUAAAAUGAUUAUUUUCUAAAGUAAAAUGUCCAUUUAAAAAAAAAAGAUCAUAUGUAUUUUAAGUAAUGUGUUAUUUGUUUAUGUGCGUAACAAAAACACUUUAAAACUAAAUUUGGUGUAUGUCCUUUGCUACGAACAUAACAGAAACUGAGGAAUGUUUGAAUUGAAUGUUUAAAAGUUCAGAAUUUAAAUAGGUUUUUUUUAAGUAAAGUCUCCAUUUAAAAAAAAAAGAUCAUAUGUAUUUUAAGUAUUGUGUUAUUUGUUUAUGUUCAAAACAAGGACACUUUGAAAGUGUGUCCUUUGUAAUGAAAAUAAGAAAAACUCAGAAAUGAUGUGAAAUAAACGAUUAAAGAAGGAAAUCAGAUUUGAAUUAUUUAUUUUUAAAAGUAAAUUCCAAAUUUGAUUGUCUGUUGUUACGAACAUAAAAAAAAAUCUGUAAUAAACUAUUUUGAGAAAACAAAUAAUUUCUGAAUGAGGUUUGAUAUAUAUUAUAAUUAUGUAGCCCGUCCUGAUGAAUAUUUGUAGGAAAAAAAAAAUUUAUCAAAUGCAUUUCUAAGUUCAUUACAAAAUAACAGAGACGCAUCUAUUACUAGGCCCGCCAUGGGUGGGAGUCCUUAGGUAAUUAGCUGAUCUGUCCUGGAUUUUUGUUGUUGUUAGUUUUUCCAUAUUCCACUUUCAGAAAUUCUAUGCUCACGGUGAAACCUAUACACGCAUAAAAUAAAAUGUAUAUAUUGUAAAAAUACAAAAUUGUGAUCGAUCAUUACUGAAAAUAUUAUAACUAUUUGUAGGCACCAAACAAAGACAACACAGGCAGUAUAAAUAUGCACGUAAAACUCUCACCAAAAUCGAAAAACAGAUAUGCUCUAAAAGCAUUCCGAGAAAGAAUUAAGCUAGAUGAAACAUUAUACAAAAAAUAUAGGCAGUUUGAAACAUUAAGGGUAAAAGCAUUUAGAGGAAAUAUGUCUCAACAGACAAGAAUAAACAGAUUUAGAAUGAAAAAAUACAGACAAAAAAAGAAAAGCGAAUGAGACACUGCAAGUCACCCAAAACCAAUCAAAGCACUGUAAGCGCUAUAAACAAGGCCAAGGGUGCAGGGGUCCCAGCCACAUAAAAAAGUUGACCAUGCACCCAAAACUCUAAAGUAUGAUGGAAAAUCAAAUUGGAAAGCCUUCUAUGUGAAAUUUUCACGUAACGCGGAGGUAUAUGAAUGGUCCCCUCAAGAGUGUAAGGAUCAAAUUUGUUGGUGCUUAGAGGGUAAGGCCAGCGAAUACUACGCAAUGUUGACCGAUCGAAAUAAACACAUGUCAUUCACGGAUAUGAUCGAAAAGUUCGAAAAGCGUUUCGGAUAUAAAGAGUUGCCUGAAACUGCUCAGGUCCAAUUUCAGAUUGCCCGUCAACAGGCAGACGAAAAUCUGGAAGACUGGGCUGACAGGGUUCUUUCCCUUGCUACAAAGGCAUUCAGGGACCUACCUGAGGAUCACAUGUACCAGCAGGCGGUCCUCAGGUUGUGUCAGGGGGUGUCUGAUAAGGAGGCGGGGACUGCAGCCUCGAAUGUCCGUCCAAAAAGUAUUGAGGAGGCCAUUGAUAAAAUGAGAUGGUUCCAACACAACCAACAGGCUAUUUAUGGUAGGGGUCCUAAAAGGGAAGUGAGACAGACAAGUCUUAAUAGGGGGUACCCGUAUGAACAGGAAGUAACUGUUUCAGCUACCACUUUACCAUCUAAGAGGGACUCAGAGACCCCUUGGAAAGCAGACAUAGAGAGGGUAGAAGACAAAAUUGACAAGAUGCAAUCAGACUUACUGUCUGAACUUAAAAAGAUUGCAAUUCCAGCCCCUGCUCCUAGCCAACCAUCAGGGAGAAAUCACUCUCCAGCUAGGAUGGAAUGUUAUAGCUGUGGGUCCCAAAACCAUUUUAAGCGGGAUUGCCCAAAACUUCGGAGGUCGCCUUCCCGCAGUCCAUCCCCCGGGUCACGGGGAAAUUGCUUUCAUUGUGACCGUCCUGGGCAUAUGAAGAGGGAUUGUCCCAUGAGAAAUAGGGAAAAAGCUGUGACUUUCGCAGACCAGGUUAGAUCUGCCUCCAAGGAGGCUUUAAACAUGAACGGAGCUGCUCGAGAGGCCGGAGUCAGUUCCAAAUAGAUACAGGUCUCAAUAAGGGCGAAACCACAAAUAGUUGGGUUAGGGAAGUAGUAGAGAACCCCACAGACAAGGAUGUUCCAGCCAUGAAUGUAACAUCUAGAGGCAACAUUGUUGAUAGUGGGACUGAACCCUCAUCUGAUGUAAAGUUACUUGAACCAAUGCUUCUUACAUUUAUGCCCCCAAAAGCUAAGGGAAACUUGACAGGGGAAAGGGUUGCUUUUGAAAGUAGUAUGGAGGAAGGGAGUCUAGGGGGUAAUGUGGGAUCUGACUCAACCUCAACAGGGAGCGAGGGAGCGGGCAUUGCCCCUCGGCAGGCAGAUCGCCACUUGUCAAAGACUUUAGCCUAUACCUUAAGACAUGGAGCCCAGAAAUACAAUUAUGAUGUACAAUCAGAUGGGUACCUGUUUGUUGAUGAAAUCUUGAGUUGUCAACCUGGUCUAAAGGGGUACUCGGACGAAGAUAUUUGUAGGGUUGUAAGAUUUGACGACAAUAAGAGGUUUAGAUUAUCAACUGAUGAUAUAACAGGUCGACUAAAGAUUAAGGCAAAUCAUGGUCACUCAAUCCCCAUACAUGAUUCUGACCUGGUAUUGAUUAAGCAGGGUGAGGUAACAAAAGCAUACCAUUGCACCAGUAUGGUGGGAUGGGAUGGGAUAGUUGGCAUGGGAAUCAAUAAGAUGGGCCGGGUUCACAUUCAUUUUAGUACCCAAGUCCCAGAUAGUCUGAAGCCGCAUUGGGAAGUAAUCGUUCAAGUCGAUAUAAAAGGAGGCUCAGCAGGACGGUUACAAGUUUUUCCGGUCCCACAGUGGACUUAUUUUGUGUUCAGGGAAUGAGGAGGGUACUCUUCCAGCAAAGUACAUUUCAUUUGCCCAGCAUUUGGAUCCCUCUGUCAGUCUUCAUGAUGACGACGAAUCAAUUGAAGCCGAACAUUCAGAUCUGAUUUGCGAAAUAGGCUCUUCAUGUAAUAGUGUGAACGAGGUUAUGUGUGUCCAUCAGGAUACCCCACAGGUUUCACAGCAGGUAAAGGGGUCAUAUGAUGUUGGGGCACGUGAGUCCGAGUCUACUCAAAGUGCAGACCCGGGGAAACAUUUCUUUGACAGCACAUGCAAGUCGACUGAAUGGGGAAAAGUUGGUCCAAAUACUGAACAGUCUGGAAAUUGGUCGGACUCCACAGGGGAUGGGGUUUCUGAAAUUGAAAACGACCCUCCCCCAGGAUAUCGCGAAGCAACUAGGGAACCUGGUGAUGAAACCUCAGGUAGUGACCUAGAUAACACUCUGGUGAAAGGCAUGCAAGACAGUAAAGGUGACCCUGAGAAUGAAGAGGGCGUGGUUACAGUCUGUCGACUUCGUUCUGGUUCAGUUUUCAGGGUACCUGUAAAGGUUCAGGGGCAGAGUUUGUUUGCAGUUGUAGACACUGCUGCAGAGGUGACACUUAUUUCAGAGGAAGUGUACAAGUCCCUGAAGGUUGUCCCCCCAGUUCUUAAGGAGGUCAUUAUGCACACGGCGGGUAGGGGUAUGCAAAUGAAUGGAUUCAUUGUGGGACCCACUGAAAUUCAGUUGGGUGCACGAGUGAUGGAAGCGAAUAUUUAUGUAGCUCCAAUCUCAGAUGACAUGCUUUUGGGCUUUGAUCUGUUAAGAGAAGAGGGAGUGGCAUUGGAUAUGUUAGAAGGGCAUUUGAAAAUCGGAGAUGAAGUUAUCCCCAUGACAUCUGGUGCGGUGGGACAAGUCCCCCGUGAAGCUAAUGUACUCUUGGAUAAGACAGUCACUGUGCCCCCGAAUUCAGUUAUGAGGGUAUCGUGUAACCUCAGUAAUGAGUUGUCAGGAUACGUGGUUGAGGCCUGUACCCAUGAUGAACUGUUAGUCCCCAGAACUUUACAGGCCCCGGGACGUCACCCUAUUAUUUGUUUGAUGAAUAUUUCGGAUAAGCACGUGACAAUUCCAGAAAAUGAGAUGAUAGCCCGGGCGAUUGAAGUUGAAAUACUUCCAGGCACGGAGUUGGGAUUGGCCCAAGGAAAUGACCCCUGGGUUUGCAAAGUUGAAGGGGAGGAUCACUCAUUGGUUGAGGAGGGUGUGCCCAAUCAUCUAAAAGAUCUGUUCGACAAGUCAAAAACCGAUCUAGAUACAGAUGGGCAAAAACAGUUAGCUUCUUUGUUGUCGGACUUUGGCGAUGUUUUUGCGGCCAAUGAAUUUGACUUGGGCAACUUCUCCCUCAUUGAACACCACAUUGAUACAGGGGACCACCCGCCUAUUAAGCAGCGAAUGAGGCGAACGCCUGUGGGGUUUGCUCAAGAGGAGGAAGCCCACUUGAAGCGAAUGCUCGAGGCGGGGGUGAUCCAACCUUCAGUGUCAGAGUGGUGCUCUGCCCCGGUCCUAGUUCGUAAGAAAGAUGGUGGGGUCAGGUGGUGCAUUGAUUACAGAGCCAUUAAUUCCUGUACGGUCAAGGAUGUAUACCCCCUACCCUUGAUUGGGGAAUGUCUAGAUACUUUGGCGGGAAACCAGUGGUAUUCAAAACUUGACGCUAAUUCUGCGUAUUGGCAGGUUAAGAUUCGGGAACAAGAUCGGUCGAAGACCGCGUUCAUUUCAAAGUACGGGCUGUUUGAAUUUGCCAGGAUGGCGUUUGGUUUAUGCAACAGUCCGGCCACGUACGCACGGGUUGUGAAUCUGGUCCUACGGGGGCUCACAUGGGACAUAGUCUUGGCGUUCUUAGACGAUAUCUUGGUAUUAGGUCAAAAUCUUGAGGCCCACUUCGCUAAUCUUAGGGCGGUGUUGCAAAGAUUCCGGGAAUUUGGGCUCAAACUAAAACCGAAAAAGUGUGAAUUGUUUCAGAAGAAAGUGGAGUUUCUAGGGAGAGUAGUAGGAGAAGGCGGUAUGGAGAUAGGUCCAGGCUAUAUUGAGGAUGUAAAAAAUUGGCCUACCCCUAACAAUAGUAAAGAUAUCGAGAGGUUCUUGGGCUUUGCUAAUUACCAUCGAUCCUUUAUUCAUGCAUAUUCAAAAAUAGCUGUCCCCCUCCAAGAGGUCACAGGUAAAAGACCAUACAGGUGGGAAACUGAACAGCAAGAGUCCUUUGACAAAUUGAAAAUGGCCUUGACUUCAGCCCCCGUACUCGCUCUACCGAAUGCCACAGAUCCCUUCAUCUUGGACUGUGAUGCCUCCGAUAAAAGUUUGGGAGCCGAGCUGAUACAGGUCCAGGAAGGAAAAGAAAGGGUUGUGGCGUAUUCAAGUUUAACACUGGCCCCAGAGCAGCAACGCUAUUGUACAACACGAAAAGAACUAUUGGCUAUUGUGAGGUUUACCCGCCAGUUUCGUCAUUAUUUGGCGGGACGUCCAUUUGUAGUCCGAACUGAUCAUUCGAGUCUCACAUGGCUCCUUAGGUUCAAGAACCCAGAGGGACAAUUGGCUAGGUGGAUGGAAGAACUCAGCCAGUACCAUAUGACUGUCCAACACAGGCAGGGUGUAAAACAUGGAAACGCUGAUGGACUUUCCAGAAUCCCGACAGAACUACCAUGCCCGGGUUUCUCUACGGAAGUAGAAUUGUCCAAUCUCCCAUGUAAAGGUUGCAAAUACUGUGCAAAAGCCCAUAGGCAGUGGUCUGGGUUUGCGGAGGAGGUAGAUUAUGUUGUACCUCUUGCUACCAAGGUUAUACCCGCACCGGAAGUCAUGAUGGUUCAGGGCCAGGCCAAUAGCCGAGGUCAAGAUUUGGAUGAAAUUCAUGUUUCAAGGGUAAUGAUACUUGUGGCAGACGGGAAUGUGGUUGUUUCUCCAGAUACAGGGGAAAUGUCCAUUUGUGUCAUUCAGGGUGACUAUGGCGUUGGUUUGGGGAAAUAUGCAGUGGAUGAGAUUUGUGAGAGUCAGGGUAAGGACCCAGAACUAAAGUGGUUGGUAAAAGGGCUGAAGGGUGAAGGUGACCCGCCGCAAGGAGACAUUUUCAGAAGUAGUCCACAUGCAAAGUUUUAUUGGGUGAAUAGGUCUAGAUUCACGAUGACAAACCGGGGAGAGGUGAUUCUCAUUCCUACGAAAGGGGAAAACCCUCGUUUAGUUGUUCCAAUAGAAUGGAGGAAUGAGAUUCUUGAGUUGUGUCAUGACAUUCCGUCCGCGGGACACCAAGGUGCAGAGCGGACAAGGGAAAAAAUAAAACAGAGUUACUAUUGGCACGGGCUGGGGGCGGAUGUUGAGAGAUAUGUAGCAAGUUGUAAACAUUGUAGCCAGAACAAGAAGGCUACCAGGUCUGCUAGGUGUCCCCAAACCCUGUACCACUCUGGUUAUCCGAUGGAGAGAGUCCAUCUGGAUUUUAUCGGACCCCUCCCCAAGACUGAGAGAGGGAAUGAGAAUGUGCUCAUGAUGGUGGACCAAUUUAGCAAAUGGGUUGAGUGUGUCCCCCUUCCAUCGCAGACUGCCGAAGUGACUGCAAGGGCAGCGGUCAAUGAGUUUUUCUGUCGCUUUGGGUACCCGUUUGAAAUCUUUACCGAUCAGGGUAGAAACUUUGAAAGUCAACUGUUCAGGGCUGUGUGUGAAUUACUGCACAUUCAUAAGGCCCGAACAACCCCAUAUCGUCCUUGUGCUAAUGGACAGGUUGAACGGUUCAAUCGAACUCUAAUGGCCGCAGUUAGGUGCUUUGUGGGAACUACUCAAAGGGCGUGGGACGAGAACAUUGCCCAAUUGGCGGGAGCAAUAAGGGCAUCAGUUAAUAGAACAACGGGGUUUACGGCUAAUAAGCUUAUGCUAGGGCGGGAAGUUAACACCCCGGCCGAGUUGAUGUUUAGACCCCCCAGGGAUGGAAGCCCUCCAGAUUUGGAUGGGUAUGUAGCAGAAUUAGUCGAGGCUAUGCAGGCAGCUCAUGAAGUUGCCAGACUAAACAUAAAGACUAGCCAACUUAGAAGUAAGAGGGAUUAUGAUUUGAGGGUUAAUCUACGCCAGUACAAUGUAGGGGACUUAGUGUACCAAUUGGACACUGCCACAACCCCGGGGAAAUGCAAGAAGCUCUGUCCUGUAUGGAAGGGCCCCGGAAUUGUGUUUCAGAGGGUCUCCGCAUACUUGUACAAGGUGAAGAUGAAAAAGUCGUUAGUAACCGCCAAUCACGAUAGGUUAAAGAUCUGUAAAGAUCGAGUACUCCCUCCUUGGUUAGUUAAGGAAAAGAAGAGACUGGAACAGGGAAACGAAGGGGUAGAGAAGAAUACCUUAGAUAACCCAGAACAAAACCCUAAACAAUCCCCUAAACAAACCCAGGAUGAUAAUCCACCCGCACCAGACCCAUUACAAGAUUCAGACGCAGGGCAAGGUGGGGAGGGCACUGAAAUAUGUAGACCUGCUCAGAGCAUAGAGGGGAAACCGUCAGGGGUACAUAAUUUUGAACCCGACCUUUUAAGCUCUCAGGAAGAAAUGUACUGCAUCUGCAGGGGCCCAGAUAUAGGGGAUUUUAUGAUUGGGUGCGACGGGUGCACCGAAUGGUUUCAUGGGAGGUGUGUGGGUAUUUCACCGCAAGAUGGUGAAGAACUAGGGGAAUACCUAUGCAAAACUUGCAAAGAGGUCCAGGUAACAAAGGGUGUGACCUCAACUCCCAUUAAACUCCGUAGGAGCGUACGCAACCGGCGCCCUACAAAAGAGUGA